This 253-nucleotide ribosomal RNA is filed under the name uncultured bacterium. RNAcentral describes it as "partial 16S ribosomal RNA". It matches the Rfam family "Bacterial small subunit ribosomal RNA", at positions 524 to 776 of the family's 1533-position model. The record is from RNAcentral.
UACGAAGGGGGCUAGCGUUGUUCGGAAUUACUGGGCGUAAAGCGUGCGCAGGCGGCUUCUCAAGUCAGGGGUGAAAGCCCAGAGCUCAACUCUGGAAUUGCCUUUGAGACUGAGUGGCUUGAGUACGAGAGGGGUGAGUGGAAUUCCCAGUGUAGAGGUGAAAUUCGUAGAUAUUGGGAAGAACACCGGUGGCGAAGGCGGCUCACUGGCUCGUAACUGACGCUCAUGCACGACAGCGUGGGGAUCAAACAGG